CUUGACGACCAUAGAGCGUUGGAACCACCUGAUCCCAUCCCGAACUCAGCAGUGAAACGAUGCAUCGCCGAUGGUAGUGUGGGGUUUCCCCAUGUGAGAGUAGGUCAU
RNAcentral lists this ribosomal RNA (108 nucleotides) under Pseudomonas graminis. RNAcentral also lists the same sequence under 1 other name. The record is from RNAcentral. Lineage: Bacteria; Pseudomonadati; Pseudomonadota; Gammaproteobacteria; Pseudomonadales; Pseudomonadaceae.